CACGAAGGCUGAGCCAUUGCCGUCCAUUGGUUCCAACCUCGCAUACUUCCUGGAUGAGCUUGCGGAUGAUGCUCGUUCUGAUUACCACAAUUUAAUGGCCGCUGCCUUGGACGGCGAGUACGAGACCUGCGCUUUGUACGCCGAUCAGCUGAAACGGAGGUGCAUCGACCACUUUAAAGACGGUGUUCUCGGCCUCGAGCACCUGGCGGCCGUUGAUGGUCUCUGCGACCUCGUGUCGAAGGAGUUGGGGGUGGCUGAUCCGGUGAAGACUUACCAUGUCAAUCUGUCGCUUUUCACCUCGAUGCCUGAUUUCUGGGCGAUCGGGCAGCUCUUCCCCAUCGUUCCAAUUCAUCGUCUCGACCAGCGGCCGGCGAUCAAGGGGAUUCUAUCCGAU
This 394-nucleotide long non-coding RNA is filed under the name Musa acuminata (dwarf banana). RNAcentral's name for it is "long non-coding RNA (MACU_LNC005395)". The record is from RNAcentral. Lineage: Eukaryota; Viridiplantae; Streptophyta; Magnoliopsida; Zingiberales; Musaceae.